Molecule: ribosomal RNA, 455 nt
Filed under: uncultured Sphingomonas sp.
Lineage: Bacteria; Pseudomonadati; Pseudomonadota; Alphaproteobacteria; Sphingomonadales; Sphingomonadaceae
Description: partial 16S ribosomal RNA
Source: RNAcentral
CACGGAGUUAGCCGGGGCUUAUUCUCCCGGUACUGUCAUUAUCAUCCCGGGCAAAAGAGCUUUACAACCCUAAGGCCUUCAUCACUCACGCGGCAUUGCUGGAUCAGGCUUGCGCCCAUUGUCCAAUAUUCCCCACUGCUGCCUCCCGUAGGAGUCUGGGCCGUGUCUCAGUCCCAGUGUGGCUGAUCAUCCUCUCAGACCAGCUAAGGAUCGUCGCCUUGGUAGGCCUUUACCCCACCAACUAGCUAAUCCUACGCGGGCUCAUCCUCGGGCGAUAAAUCUUUGAUCUCGCGAUAUCAUCCGGUAUUAGCAGUCGUUUCCAACUGUUAUCCCAGACCCAAGGGCAGAUUCCCACGCGUUACGCACCCGUGCGCCACUAUGCCCCGAAAGACAUCGUUCGACUUGCAUGUGUUAGGCAUGCCGCCAGCGUUCGUUCUGAGCCAGGAUCAAACUCU